Molecule: ribosomal RNA, 253 nt
Filed under: uncultured bacterium
Lineage: Bacteria
Description: partial 16S ribosomal RNA
Rfam family: Bacterial small subunit ribosomal RNA
Source: RNAcentral
UACGUAGGGUGCAAGCGUUGUCCGGAAUUAUUGGGCGUAAAGGGCUUGUAGGCGGUCCAUCGCGUCGGGAGUGAAAAGCUGGGGCUCAACCCCAGUCCUGCUUUCGAUACGGGUGGACUAGAGGUAUGCAGGGGAGAACGGAAUUCCUGGUGUAGCGGUGAAAUGCGCAGAUAUCAGGAGGAACACCGGUGGCGAAGGCGGUUCUCUGGGCAUUACCUGACGCUGAGGCACGAAAGCGUGGGGAGCAAACAGG